Rhineura floridana is the source of this 119-nucleotide ribosomal RNA. The record is from RefSeq and is a predicted model, not a curated record. Lineage: Eukaryota; Metazoa; Chordata; Lepidosauria; Squamata; Rhineuridae.
AUCUAUGGCCAUACUACCCUGAACACGCCCGAUCUCAUCUGAUCUCGGAAGCUAAACAGGGCCAGGUCUGAUUAGUACCUGGAUGGGAGACCACAUGGGAAUACUGGGUGCCGUAGGCU